GACGAACGCUGGCGGCGUGCUUAACACAUGCAAGUCGAACAGUGGCGAACGGGUGAGUAACACGUGAGUAACCUGACCUCCACUUUGGGAUAACUCCGAGAAAUUGGGGCUAAUACUGGAUAGUGGGGGAUGGGCUCGCGGCCUAUCAGUUUGUUGGUGAGGUAGUGGUCACCAAGGGGGGGCGGGUGGCCGGCCUGAGAGGGCAACCGGAAACACUAGGACGGAGACGCGGCCCAGACUCCAACGGGACGCAGCGGUGGAGAAUAUAGCACAAUGGGCGAAAGCGUGAUGCAGCGACGCCGCGUGGGGGAAGACGGCCUUCGGGUUGUAAACCUCUUUCAUCAAGGAAGCGGUACUUGCAGAAGAAGCGCCGGCUAACUACGUACCAGCAGCCGCGGUAAUAC
RNAcentral lists this ribosomal RNA (404 nucleotides) under uncultured bacterium. RNAcentral's name for it is "partial 16S ribosomal RNA". It matches the Rfam family "Bacterial small subunit ribosomal RNA", at positions 28 to 526 of the family's 1533-position model. The record is from RNAcentral.